This 139-nucleotide ribosomal RNA is filed under the name uncultured bacterium. RNAcentral's name for it is "partial 16S ribosomal RNA". It matches the Rfam family "Bacterial small subunit ribosomal RNA", at positions 340 to 476 of the family's 1533-position model. The record is from RNAcentral.
UACGGGAGGCAGCAGUGAGGAAUAUUGGUCAAUGGAGGCAACUCUGAACCAGCCACGUCGCGUGAAGGAUGACGGCCCUACGGGUUGUAAACUUCUUUUGUAAGGGAAUAAAGUUAGUUACGUGUAACUAUUUGCAUUA